AUGACCAUGGUUGAAAUGCAAGAAGCGUUUAGGAGAAAUAUUAUUCUGUCAUUUUCAGAAGAAAGAGCUGCCUUCUUUUUUUUAGUUAAUGAAAUAAAUACUUGCUGUAUCAAAUGUCUGGAUGUUCCAGCCAAGGAAUCUCCAUUGAGGUGCUCAUUAGACUCUAUUUUGGACUUUUCUAUGAAGCAGUACAUCUUCUCUUUGAAGGAAUUGUUUACUUGCUUUCCUGCCGGUUGCUUGUGUUAUACGAUAUCUUAUUGUUCCAGUUUUGACUUGCUUGUGUAUUCUUUGUUCUUCAAUCGUGAUCCAUACACUGUACUUUUCUAG
Molecule: ribosomal RNA, 327 nt
Filed under: Triticum aestivum (bread wheat)
Lineage: Eukaryota; Viridiplantae; Streptophyta; Magnoliopsida; Poales; Poaceae
Description: partial small subunit ribosomal RNA
Source: RNAcentral